GCGGACGUGGCGGAAUUGGUAGACGCGCUGGAUUUAGGUUCCAGUCCUUACGGGUCAGAGUUCGAGUCUCUGCGUCCGCA
RNAcentral lists this transfer RNA (80 nucleotides) under Gloeomargarita lithophora Alchichica-D10. It matches the Rfam family "tRNA". Rfam says of the family: Transfer RNA (tRNA) molecules are approximately 80 nucleotides in length. Their secondary structure includes four short double-helical elements and three loops (D, anti-codon, and T loops). The record is from Rfam by way of RNAcentral. Lineage: Bacteria; Bacillati; Cyanobacteriota; Cyanophyceae; Gloeomargaritales; Gloeomargaritaceae. RNAcentral also lists the same sequence under 9 other names.